This 258-nucleotide unclassified non-coding RNA is filed under the name uncultured fungus. RNAcentral's name for it is "sequence contains ITS2". The stretch from base 1 to 52 matches the Rfam family "5.8S ribosomal RNA", at positions 103 to 154 of the family's 154-position model. The record is from RNAcentral. RNAcentral also lists the same sequence under 1 other name. Lineage: Eukaryota; Fungi.
AACGCACAUUGCGCCCCCUGGUAUUCCGGGGGGCAUGCCUGUCCGAGCGUCAUUGCUGCCCUCAAGCCCGGCUUGUGUGUUGGGUCUCGUCCCCCUUCCCGGGGGGACGGGCCCGAAAGGCAGCGGCGGCACCGCGUCCGGUCCUCGAGCGUAUGGGGCUUUGUCACCCGCUCUGUAGGCCCGGCCGGCGCUUGCCGAUCAACCAAAACUUUUUUCCAGGUUGACCUCGGAUCAGGUAGGGAUACCCGCUGAACUUAA